RNAcentral lists this long non-coding RNA (1159 nucleotides) under Dromaius novaehollandiae (emu). RNAcentral's name for it is "lncRNA (ENSDNVG00000004041.1)". Lineage: Eukaryota; Metazoa; Chordata; Aves; Casuariiformes; Dromaiidae. The record is from RNAcentral.
UCCGACGUAGCUGCCCCAAAGUCCUGCCGGGACACCCGACGCGCCGGCCGUGCACGCUGACACCGUGUGCCGGCCCUCGUGUCCCUUUGCACCCUUCCUAACCCGGUACAGCCAAACCGGCCGGACGCGGAGGCUUCGGAUGCUCCCGGGGGGGAGGUGCUGGGCGCUCCCCCCCCCCGCCCCGGGCGGUGGGAUUUGGUGGGAAAGCUCCUGGCGAGGGGCAGGGAGGGAGGACGGGACGAGGGAGAGCAGCAGGAUGGGGCCGGGGCCGGUGCGCGGGAGGAAGGGAGGCUGGACGUGGAUGUGUGCUCAGCAAUAGGAAAUGCUUUAUUAGCUGGGAGUGGUGGAGAAAAGCCAGGCAGGAAGAGGCAGUAAUAAGAAACAUUUUUUUGACUUCUCCCACAUCCAGAUCGCAGCGCGCUUGCCAAACGGCUGCGUUUGGGCAGCGGGGACGCGGAGCGGAGCCCCGGGGUGGGGCCGGGACCCGGGACGGGUGACACCGGGGCCGCGGCGGGAGGUCGGGCGGGGAGGGCAGGGCGUGGACCCAUGCGGCUCCAGCAGGCCGCGGCGCCCGGCACGGAGGAGAGCUGCCCGGGCUGAGCCCAGCGCCGGAGCCGGGCUCGGGGCCGAGUCGCAGCCGCUGGUGGCGAGGAGGAGGAAGAGGAGGAGGAGGAGMGGARCCRGGGUCGGGCAGCGCUSCGCGGGACCCGCCGGCCGCCCGGGGCUGAUGCUGCCCGGGGAAGGGGCAGAGCUGUAGAAAAAUGCCCCGAGGAGCCGCCGGCGCGGCGCUGCUGGCAAUSCUGACCGUUUCGCUGGGCUUCGCCGCCGGYGAGCUGCUCUGCGCCUGCGACGUGCCGCACUGCAACGUCUCCACGUGCCGGGGGAAGGUGUGCUUCGUCAGCAAGAGCAGGGAGGGCGGCAGCGUCACCCGGCGCAAGGGCUGCUUCUCGCAGCACCUCCUGGAGAGCUGCCGCGGCCCCGUCAUGGAGCACUUCGGCACCAAGUGCUGCAACGCCAGCAUGUGCAACGCCCACCUGGAGAUCUACCUGCGAGGUAGGAGCGGGCCACGGUGCCGUGUCGUGCCGUGCCGGCCGCACAGUGCCCCAGUCCCAGCCGGCGUUGCCCCCCGGCAGGCGAGGAGGCGCCGGGGCCGGCGGCC